GUGCUCGCUUCGGCAUCACAUAUACUAAAAUUGGAAUGAUACAGAGAAGAUUAGCAUGGCCCCUGCGCAAAGAUGACACACAAAUUCGUGAAGCGUUCCACAUUUAA
This is a small nuclear RNA of Myotis lucifugus (little brown bat), 107 nucleotides long. Lineage: Eukaryota; Metazoa; Chordata; Mammalia; Chiroptera; Vespertilionidae. The record is from Ensembl.